Non-coding RNA from Paramisgurnus dabryanus, 2907 nucleotides. NCBI's taxonomy places the organism in Eukaryota, Metazoa, Chordata, Actinopteri, Cypriniformes, Cobitidae. The record is from RefSeq and is a predicted model, not a curated record.
AGGUCAACACUCCUGAGGUCUCUGGUCUUGUGUACAGACACUGAAAAUCCUUCCAUAUUACCUGCAGUCUGACAGGGGCCAUCGGGUUCAAACAACUCACUGAUGUUAAAGCGGACAUCAGGGCUUUCCAAAAAAGAGAUGCUGUCAAAUAAGAGAAGAGAUGUCGGAGUCUUUCGGAGAAAUGCAUAAUGUGCUUGCUCGUCCGAAGAAGAUUUUGUCCGAAAACAGAAAGUGUUGUUUUUAUAGUUUAAAGUUUCAAAAUGUAAAGCACUGGAACGGUCAAGAAACAGCAUGGAAAUACACAGAACCGCCUGGAAAAGCAUCUCAGAAUCUCAUCUCAGCCAAUUACCACCUAAAUAAAGAUCAGCUGGGGCUUGAAAGGCUAGAAUCUAAAACUACAGGAACUCAAUCCUGACCUGUUAUUACAAAAUAAAAUCAAUGGAUUCACCGGAAAUGGGAUUCAGGCUUCACGAUCACGUCGCAUUAUAGAGAGUCACAUCUUCUGCUGCUACUGACCUCAUCUGACAACAUCGACUGACCUAAAAACAUCUGAUGCUUUUUCUUGAUGAGCAAAACGACCCAAGAGGGUGUAUAUCGGGUCUAUAGUCAACUCAGGUUGUGAAAUGAUAGUUACUACUUGCUGGGUUAACUAAGAUGAUCAAACGACUGUACACAUCCAGAGCUUCACUGAUUUGUGCGUCAGGAAGCAUUUAUUGACUUGAAUGCCGUCAGAUCUUUGAGCACAAACGGAGUGAUGCUUUAAUAUUUGUCUUCAGGGAGAAGCAACGCCAACCCCUCCACUCGCUCCUAUCUGACCGAGCUGAGCUCUGAUUGAAUAAGAAAGUGCAGAUAAUUCAUAUCUAGAAAUUUUUGGGGACCCCCUAAAAACUCCUGAAGGGGAGGCCCCCUAAGGGUUCCCGGACCCCACACUGAAAAAAGGAAGCAUGAAGUUAAAACAACUUAGUUUUUGCAGUUUGAAAACACCUGGUCUAGAAGAAACAUCUAAGAUUUCAUGUGAUUUUUUCUCCCAUGAGAAUGCCAUUGCCAAGAUCCCUGGACUUCCAGAAAAAUCCUCAGCCUAAUUUUGGAGAGCCUGGCAUGCAAACAGGUUGCUAUCACCCAAUAUACGGACUUAACCAACACCAUCUCAUGGCUAUUCAUGCAUUUUGGGUGAGGUGGCUAAUUCGUACCACCACAUAUAUACAUUUCUGUAUUACUUGCCCUUUAACAAUGUGGUUGGAAUUUUUUUAUUUUUAUUUUUUAUACCAAUUGUACGGUUUAACUUGGUGCGGUUUCAUAAUGAGCCAACUUGUAAAAUACUCUUCUCAUGAGAUCAGGCUGGACUUAACACAUCUCCAUACUGCUCAUCCAGCUGGACAACAUACGAGUCCAAUAAAACAAAAUCUAUGAUGUAAACUCCAUUGCUUUUGGGGCACCAUAUUUAAAGGGGCCAUGUCACAAUAUUUUUUUAAGAUGUAAAAUAAAUCUUUGGUGUCCCCAGAAUACUCAUGCGAAGUUUUAGCUCAAAAUACCAUAGAGAUAAUAUAUUAUAACAUGUUAAAAUUGACACUUUGUAGGUGUGUGCAAAAAUGUGUUGUUUUGGGUGUGUCCUUUAAUAUGCAAAAUGAGCUGAUAAUGCAAACACUGAUCACGAUGAUGGUGGUUUGAUGCAAUUCAAACUCAAUUGCGCAGUCAAUAAUUUUUUCUCUCUCUUUCUCUCUGCCCUAAAUGGCAGUGCUGUGGUUGGAUAGUUCAGAUUAAGGGGCGGUAUUAUAUUAAUAGGAGCUCCUUAUGACAUCACAAGGAGAGACAAAUUUCAAUGACCUAUUUUUUCACGUGCUUGUAGAGAAUGGUUUACCAAAACUAAGUUAUUGUGUUGAUCUUUUUCACAUUUUCUGGGUUGAUAGAAGCACUGGGGACCCAAUCAUAGCACUUAAACAUGGAAAAAAAUCUGAUUUUCAUGCCAUGGCCCCUUUAAGAAAUAUCACAUGGUGACCAAUGAUGCUCAGGAGUACGAAGCUAAAUCCUAAACUUUUUUGCAAAAUAGCAAAUCUAAACUGAGGUCUGAGCAAGCAGCAACAUCUUAAAGAGAUAUGUUUUUUUUCCCAGCGACAACCAAUCGCUUGCUUUUAUUUAAAUUCUUAAAAACUUUGUAAUUUUUAUUGUGUUGUAUUUUUAUUUUUUUUAUUGCAUUUAUAAUGUGGCAUUGUACUUGUAAAAAUGCAUUAUUAUUAUUAUUAUUAAUUCACAUAUUUUUAUAAUAUUUUUGUUUCUCCCAAGGAUUGGGCUGACAUAUCCGUUAUAUACAUUACAUUACAUAUACAUUGCAUUAUUACUCCGCUCACUAGUACAGUAGCUACUGUACAUUGCUACUUUGUUGUCCUAUGAUUUUUAUUGUUUUUAUUCAUGUAAAGCUGCUUUGGAACAAUUAAUUGUGAAAAAAGUGGUAUAAGAAUAAAAUUUUAAACCAUCUAUUUAUCAUAAACCUCUUGUUCUGGAAGAGACAGCAAUGUUAGGGUACAGAAGAUCCAUAAAGAAGAUAUUCAGACAAAGAUAAAGUUGUGAGCUUUGUGUUUAUUGUUAUUAAGGAGUCGGUUAAUUGCAUUGAUAGCCAAACAACACAAUCAACCCUUUUAGCUUCUGUAAGGCCCACUAUCUGGCACAAGAGAUGCUGGGUUAAACAUACAGUAUAUCUUUAUGGCAAUUAUAUGUUUAGUAAGUACAUUCUUCUCUACAAGAUAUUCAUGUACAAUAUACAAGUUUUAAAAAUAUAUAGUUUGUUUGCAUCGAGUUCCACAACCAUUUCGUUCUCUUCACGAUGACAAUUAUUCACAUUAGUUGUUUUGGACCGUAUGCUUUCUGCGAAGAGGACUCAAGCCGUGUAAGAUUCAUUUUAAAAGAAAGAAA